GAUGAACGCUGGCGGCGUGCCUAAUACAUGCAAGUCGAGCGAACAGACGAGGAGCUUGCUCCUCUGACGUUAGCGGCGGACGGGUGAGUAACACGUGGAUAACCUACCUAUAAGACUGGGAUAACUUCGGGAAACCGGAGCUAAUACCGGAUAAUAUAUUGAACCGCAUGGUUCAAUAGUGAAAGACGGUUUUGCUGUCACUUAUAGAUGGAUCCGCGCCGCAUUAGCUAGUUGGUAAGGUAACGGCUUACCAAGGCAACGAUGCGUAGCCGACCUGAGAGGGUGAUCGGCCACACUGGAACUGAGACCCGGUCCAGACUCCUACGGGAGGAAGCAGUAGGGAAUCUUCCGCAAUGGGCGAAAGCUUGACGGAGCAACGCCGCGUGAGUGAUGAAGGUCUUCGGAUCGUAAAACUCUGUUAUUAGGGAAGAACAAAUGUGUAAGUAACUAUGCACGUCUUGACGGUACCUAAUCAGAAAGCCACGGCUAACUACGUG
RNAcentral lists this ribosomal RNA (497 nucleotides) under uncultured bacterium. RNAcentral's name for it is "partial 16S ribosomal RNA". It matches the Rfam family "Bacterial small subunit ribosomal RNA", at positions 28 to 507 of the family's 1533-position model. The record is from RNAcentral.